UAUUUGACUGAACGAUGGGCUGAGGCCUGGGAGUGCUGGGAAUUGGGAUUCAUGAUACGAUUCACCCCUUAAGAAUGGGAAGUACAGACCUACUCUCCCUGCAGCCUACCUCAGUGUGGGACUUUGGAACAGUCUUAAACAUGUAAUAGAAGGAAAUGUUCCAGUUAAUGUUCUUGCUGUUCCAACAGCUGCAUCAAUCCAGACACUCCUGAAACCCUCACAAGAUGAUUUACUCAGUAUCCUGUGUAUGGUCUGAUGAUGCAGCAGACAACUACAGAGUGGGUGCUGCUGAGCAGAGCUGUGCUGUUCCCUCUCCCUCCUCCCAUACAGACUGUUGCUUCCCUUCUAAGCACUACUACUCUUCCAAUCCCCAGGGAGCCAGUUCAGGAAGGCAAAACUUGCUGGAGUGUACAAAUCAUCGCUUCAGAACCAAGUGCUUGGAAGUCACCUGUUAUCAUCAAUUAGAGAAGGGAUCAACUUUGACAUAAAUGUAACAAGGUGCUGUCCUACCCCACCCUCUGCUCAGAGACAUCACUACUUGGAUUAGUGGAGAGACCAGAAACCAAGGUCCAAGUAAGAUAAAGAAACUGAAAGCCAGUGGGGAGAUCACUGUGGGACAAAGCACAUAGGAAUUUUUUGACAGAGUCCUUUAUGUGACUUGAAACCACUGUGACACUAUCCUCAGAGGAAGAAGAGAAGAAUGAUAUAACCUCUUCUAAUGCCCACAUGAUUGCAGAGUCCAGUGGACAGAGUCAGGCACAAGCCUAAGAAGUAUUUGGAUAGUCAGAGCUACAUGAACUCAGACAGAUUGACCAUCCACCUUUCUUCAAGGGCCAACCCUCUCUAUAUAUCUCCUUGUUGGGAGGAUUACCUCUUAGUUAAUGGCUUCUGAUGCUACCAAUGAAGCUGACAUGCUAAGUUAUCUGUGUCCAGGCUGAAGCCAUGCCAUUCCUGACAAGAACAUUGUGGUUCACACGUCUCCCACGUAGCCAUAGGGCUAUAAGGCCAGUGGUCAGUCUUAAGGUUUCCUCUUUCUAUGGCUUUGCCUCAAUCUUCUGCCUGCAUCUGAGGAAGACAAUGACAAUUCCCCUCAUUUGUAAUGAAUAUCUCUGAUCCAUGGUGAAAGAGCCUAUGGAAGUACGUCGUGGUGUUGAAGGAGGACGGUACAGGGAGGGGAUGCAACUCCCACAGGCCAUGCUGAAUGAAGAGUUCAGUAGGAAAAGAGGCUGGACUGUGCAAGUGUGAAAUGAGCCAUUGCACAAGUGGCCCCAGAGCUGAGCAGGGAAUAGAGCCAAUGAGCAGAAGACAGGGAUGAACUGAGAGGCCCGAGGAAAUACUUCAUAGCAGGAGAGACACUGUGACACUCUGACACCAGCCUCUUCAUCCUCUUAGGCAGCUUUGGCCAUGCUGCCUGUCUCUCCCUAAUGGCUGGUGGACUAGGAAUUGCUCUGGACUUUAUGCAAGCAAAUUCUGCAGCUGGACCAACAUGGAUGUAAAAUGGUCCCAUGGCUCCCUGAAAAGGAGAAACUAUCACAGGGAGAGAGGUUGGCACCACCACUCCAGGAAAAACUGGUGCAGAGCCUGUUUUGACUCCCAGCCCACUGCUCUGCUCCCGUGAAACCUCAGCCAAUCUGAUGCUGUGGGAGUCAUCCUGGGCAUUCAUUACUUGUGUCUGCAUACACGUAGGUCUACACACUCUUGAGUCUGCAAAUUUGAUUUCAGAGUGACUGGAUAUUCCUGAACUACAAAAUGUCUGUUUUCUUUAUUGCUAGCCAGAAGGGUCUUUCUCAUUGUGUGUGAAGCAUUUGGUGCCUUUAAGGAGGGUAAGGCACCAGAGUCUGAGUUUGUAUGGUCAUAUGGGAUGUUCUCUGCGAUAGCAGAACUUCAAGAAAGCUGGGUCCUUUAUAAAAGAUCUUGCAUAUAAACCUGCUCACAGGCUGUGUUGGGUCUGUCUGAGCUGGAGUCACCUUUUCCCUGCAGCAUCCCGCACAGUGCUGUGCUCUGCACUCGUAGCUGGAACAGCACUGAUAUCACUCCAGUGUUGUGUCUAUUGCUGCUUAGUGCUGGCACAGUAUCAGGGCUCCUUCCAAGCCCCCAAGAGCCAGCAGGCUGGGGGUGGGCAAGUGACGGGGAGGGGACAUUGCCGGGGCAGCUGACCUAAACCAACCAAAGGGAUAUUCCAUAACACCUGAUGUCACACUCAGCAAUAAAAGGGGGGGCUCUCGUGGGGGAGGGGGCUGUUCCUCCUGAACAACCACUACGCGUUUGAGGCCCUGCUUCCCAGGACGUGGCCGAACACCGCUCGCUGAUGGGAAGUAGAGAAUAAUUUUUUUUCUCUCUCUGUGCUUCCACGCGGACUGAUUGUUUCUUUGUUUCUGUUUUUUCCUCCCCAUUCCUUUUCCCUUUAAUUAAACCUUUCUCAUCUCAAACCUCGAGUUCUCUAUGUUGUAUUUUCUCCCCCUUCCUCUUUGAGGAGAGGGGGAGUGAGAGAGCGGUUGUGGUGGAGCUCGGCUGCCCACCUGAGUAAAACCACCACACCGGCAAAUAGGAUAAAUUAAAAAUGUGAAGGAGCUUACAAAUCAGCUGGUUGUAAGAGCUCCCCCAGCCUCUUCCAGUGAGUGAGUCAGAGCACAUGGACUCAGGACUGUAUCAGGCAUCUCCAGAGAACACAGCAAGAAGUUCCAGCUAAUGUUUUCUGACCAAGAAAACUGGCACUAAUAAUUUGGAUGCAUGCCAUCCAGUUUCUACUGGAAAAAAAAAAAAAAAAACAAAAACAAAAAACCCCCCCCCCACACACAAAACAAAAAACAACCAACAAACAAAAACAACAACAACAACACAAACACUCCAAAAUGUGAGGAAAAAAUGGGCUGUUUGGCUGGUUGGGAUUUUCACAGACUUUGAAGGAGCGAGAGGCUUUGAUAUCAAUAGCUACUUCAAGUUCCC
This 2946-nucleotide long non-coding RNA is filed under the name Cairina moschata (Muscovy duck). Its description in RNAcentral is "domestica (muscovy Duck (domestic type)) lncRNA (ENSCMMG00000006139.1)". The record is from RNAcentral. Lineage: Eukaryota; Metazoa; Chordata; Aves; Anseriformes; Anatidae.